Molecule: ribosomal RNA, 433 nt
Filed under: uncultured bacterium
Lineage: Bacteria
Description: partial 16S ribosomal RNA
Rfam family: Bacterial small subunit ribosomal RNA
Source: RNAcentral
AACGAACGCUGGCGGCAUGCCUAACACAUGCAAGUCGAACGAGACCUUCGGGUCUAGUGGCGCACGGGUGCGUAACGCGUGGGAACCUGCCCUUAGGUUCGGAAUAACUCCCCGAAAGGGGUGCUAAUACCGGAUAAUGUCUUCGGACCAAAGAUUUAUCGCCUUUGGAUGGGCCCGCGUUGGAUUAGCUAGUUGGUAGGGUAAAAGCCUACCAAGGCGACGAUCCAUAGCUGGUCUGAGAGGAUGAUCAGCCACACUGGGACUGAGACACGGCCCAGACUCCAUCCGGAGCCAGCGUUGCGGAUUAUUGGAGAAUGGGCGUAAGCAUGUACCAGCUAUGCCGCGUGGGUGAUAAAGGCCUUAGGGGUGUAAACCUCUUUUACCUGGGAUGUUAAUGACAGUGCGGUGAGGAUAUGCUCCAGCUCUCUCCGUG